RNAcentral lists this ribosomal RNA (741 nucleotides) under cyanobacterium enrichment culture clone 1_16_1.3.4_T7. Its description in RNAcentral is "bacterial SSU rRNA". It matches the Rfam family "Bacterial small subunit ribosomal RNA", at positions 63 to 845 of the family's 1533-position model. The record is from RNAcentral. Lineage: Bacteria; Bacillati; Cyanobacteriota.
CGAACGGGACUCUUCGGAGUUUAGUGGCGGACGGGUGAGUAACGCGUGAGAAUCUGCCCUUAGGUUGGGGACAGCAGUUGGAAACGACUGCUAAUACCCAAUGUGCCGGGAGGUGAAAGGUUAACUGCCUGGGGAUGAGCUCGCGUCUGAUUAGCUAGUUGGAGUGGUAACGGCACACCAAGGCGACGAUCAGUAGCUGGUCUGAGAGGAUGAUCAGCCACACUGGGACUGAGACACGGCCCAGACUCCUACGGGAGGCAGCAGUGGGGAAUUUUCCGCAAUGGGCGAAAGCCUGACGGAGCAAGACCGCGUGAGGGAGGAAGGCCUAUUGGUUGUAAACCUCUUUUGAUAGGGAAGAACACAAUGACGGUACCUAUCGAAUCAGCAUCGGCUAACUCCGUGCCAGCAGCCGCGGUAAUACGGAGGAUGCAAGCGUUAUCCGGAUUUAUUGGGCGUAAAGCGUCCGUAGGUGGCAAACCAAGUCAGUUGUUAAAGCGUAGAGCUUAACUCUAUAAGGGCAAUUGAAACUGGUUAGCUAGAGUGCGAUAGGGGCAAGGGGAAUUCCCAGUGUAGCGGUGAAAUGCGUAGAUAUUGGGAAGAACAUCGGUGGCGAAGGCGCCUUGCUGGGUCUGCACUGACACUGAGGGACGAAAGCUAGGGGAGCGAAAGGGAUUAGAUACCCCUGUAGUCCUAGCCGUAAACGAUGGAUACUAGGCGUUGUCCGUAUCGACCCGAGCCGUG